CACGCGUUGGGAGCUCUCCCAUAUGGUCGACCUGCAGGCGGCCGCGAAUUCACUAGUGAUUAGAGUUUGAUCAUGGCUCAGAUUGAACGCUGGCGGCAGGCUNAACACAUGCAAGUCGAGCGGAGUGAUGGUGCUUGCACUAUCACUUAGCGGCGGACGGGUGAGUAAUGCUUAGGAAUCUGCCUAUUAGUGGGGGACAACAUUUCGAAAGGAAUGCUAAUACCGCAUACGUCCUACGGGAGAAAGCAGGGGAUCUUCGGACCUUGCGCUAAUAGAUGAGCCUAAGUCGGAUUAGCUAGUUGGUGGGGUAAAGGCCUACCAAGGCGACGAUCUGUAGCGGGUCUGAGAGGAUGAUCCGCCACACUGGGACUGAGACACGGCCCAGACUCCUACGGGAGGCAGCAGUGGGGAAUAUUGGACAAUGGGCGCAAGCCUGAUCCAGCCAUGCCGCGUGUGUGAAGAAGGCCUUAUGGUUGUAAAGCACUUUAAGCGAGGAGGAGGCUACUGAAGUUAAUACCUUCAGAUAGUGGACGUUACUCGCAGAAUAAGCACCGGCUAACUCUGUGCCAGCAGCCGCGGUAAUACAGAGGGUGCAAGCGUUAAUCGGAUUUACUGGGCGUAAAGCGCGCGUAGGCGGCUAAUUAAGUCAAAUGUGAAAUCCCCGAGCUUAACUUGGGAAUUGCAUUCGAUACUGGUUAGCUAGAGUGUGGGAGAGGAUGGUAGAAUUCCAGGUGUAGCGGUGAAAUGCGUAGAGAUCUGGAGGAAUACCGAUGGCGAAGGCAGCCAUCUGGCCUAACACUGACGCUGAGGUGCGAAAGCAUGGGGAGCAAACAGGAUUAGAUACCCUGGUAGUCCAUGCCGUAAACGAUGUCUACUAGCCGUUGGGGCCUUUGAGGCUUUAGUGGCGCAGCUAACGCGAUAAGUAGACCGCCUGGGGAGU
RNAcentral lists this ribosomal RNA (940 nucleotides) under uncultured Acinetobacter sp. RNAcentral's name for it is "bacterial SSU rRNA". It matches the Rfam family "Bacterial small subunit ribosomal RNA", at positions 1 to 881 of the family's 1533-position model. Lineage: Bacteria; Pseudomonadati; Pseudomonadota; Gammaproteobacteria; Moraxellales; Moraxellaceae. The record is from RNAcentral.